Small nuclear RNA from Monodelphis domestica (gray short-tailed opossum), 93 nucleotides. Lineage: Eukaryota; Metazoa; Chordata; Mammalia; Didelphimorphia; Didelphidae. The record is from Ensembl.
GUACUUGUUUUGGCACCACAUUUACUAAAAUUUGAACAAUACAUAGAAGAUUAACAUGGCCCCUGCCAAAUUUGUGAAAUGUUUCAUAUGUUU